RNAcentral lists this ribosomal RNA (260 nucleotides) under uncultured bacterium. RNAcentral describes it as "partial 16S ribosomal RNA". The record is from RNAcentral.
CUGCUGCCUUCCGUAGGAGUCUGGGCCGUGUCUCAGUCCCAAUGUGGCCGGUCACCCUCUCAGGUCGGCUACUGAUCGUCGGCUUGGUGGGCCGUUACCCCGCCAACUACCUAAUCAGACGCGGGCCCAUCUUACACCACCGGAGUUUUUACCACUGCACCAUGCAGUACUGUGGUCUUAUGCGGUAUUAGCAGUCAUUUCUAACUGUUAUCCCCCUGUGUAAGGCAGGUUGCCCACGCGUUACUCACCCGUCCGCCGCU